RNAcentral lists this long non-coding RNA (748 nucleotides) under Brassica rapa (field mustard). RNAcentral describes it as "long non-coding RNA (BRAP_LNC008784)". Lineage: Eukaryota; Viridiplantae; Streptophyta; Magnoliopsida; Brassicales; Brassicaceae. The record is from RNAcentral.
GUUCAUCAAGCCUCUGAUGGAUCGCCUCCAAACCUGUAUUCAACAAGUUAGACAUAGAAUCAUUGAGAGCACGCAUUUGCAAGUUAGAUAAUCCGGCAUAUGAAUUUCCGGGUCGGUUUCUUUCUUCUUCACUAUCCAUGGUUACCUGAAAACUUAAACAAGGUAAAGUUAGAUUAAAAACCUCACACACUCAGGUGUUUAUCCUCACCCACACACGUGUUUCACUCAAUUUUUGUUGGUAAUCACACAAGAGAGUUCCUCCCAAAGUUCUAACAGAGCAAACUAGAUCACCCCAAUGAGCAAAUCCAAGUGAACCAAAGAUCAAGAGAGAAAGAUAAGAGAUUUAAAGGGGAACCCGCCUUAACCACCUCAAAGACCGGAUUUCUCUUCGGCCAGCAGGCUUUCUCUUCCACCACCAUACCACAAACAAAUCAAACUUUGGAAUAUCCUUUUUUUUAUACUUUUUUUUUUAUAUAGAUCUUUCUCUUUUUUUUUAGGGUUUUUUUUAUAUAUGGGGGUAAUGAGGGGCCUGGGUUCAAGAUAGAUAGUUAAGAAAUUUAGAUGAAGAAUAUGGAAGAUGAAAUGAAAUGGACUGAAAAAGAGUUACCGAGAGAGUGGCUCUGAUACCACUUGAUAGAACCAAAAUAAGGAUCACUCUUUUGGUAUAAGGUUGAUAUGAACUCAGAUCCGAGAGGAUUGAGACUGAUGGAUCGAGGGGUGACACUAAGGGUUGCGGAAUAGCCCAAAG